CAGUAGCCGCGGUAAAACGUAGGUGGCAAGCGUUGUCCGGAAUUAUUGGGCGUAAAGGGCUCGCAGGCGGUUUCUUAAGUCUGAUGUGAAAGCCCCCGGCUCAACCGGGGGGGGUCAUUGGAAACUGGGAAACUUGAGUGCAGAAGAGGAGAGUGGAAUUCCACGUGUAGCGGUGAAAUGCGUAGAGAUGUGGAGGAACACCAGUGGCGAAGGCGGCCAUCUGGGACAACACUGACGCUGAGGCACGAAAGCGUGGGGAGCAAACAGGAUUAGAGACCCCUGUAGUCCCUGUCUCUGAUAU
This 301-nucleotide ribosomal RNA is filed under the name uncultured bacterium. RNAcentral's name for it is "partial 16S ribosomal RNA". It matches the Rfam family "Bacterial small subunit ribosomal RNA", at positions 509 to 809 of the family's 1533-position model. The record is from RNAcentral.